GGUCUGAUGGCUAUGAUGGCUGACGAUCCUGAGCACCCUGACGUCUUCUUGCUGACCGACUCUGAGCACGGUAACACCUACAAGUACCAGGCAGGGAACAGAAUGAAUGCUUUGCUCUGGUACAAACAUCUGAGUGCUGCCUGUCAGAGCAAUAGGCAACAGGUGCCAGCCAAUCUGAUGUCAUUUGAGUGACUUGUGAUUAGAAGUGCGGCUGAGCAAAGGAGAGAGGGAUGAGGGGACAGACGAGGACGAUGGGGAAAGAGUGCCGACUCAGUAAUGGGAGCUUUCACUGCCAUCAACCCUGACCACCGAUUCUCCGAUUCUUUGCCCUGGCCUCACUGCAGCCUCACCUGCCACCACUGCCUUAACCAGAGUACCCUGUGUGUGUGUUUGUAUUUGACAGUGAAUGCGAAUCCGUGUGGAUGAAAAUGACUGUUUUGGAUUUAUUAACUACUGAACAAGGACCUGCACCACUGCUCAUGUCUCCCGUUUGCUUUCGGUGUCUUCUGUUCAGCACCUUCACUGGAGCCAUUUGACUUCUCCUUGCUGACAGACUGACAGGUUUUUGGUUUUUUUUGUUGUUGUUGUUGUUUUUUGGGGGGAGGACAGACCCCCCACCCCCCCUUUUUUGUGGUCCCUCCCACCUCCUUUUCACUGGGUGAACUAUCCACCCCCCAUGCUUGAAAGCAAGUUUUCCAUCUUUUUAUUCAGGUGGAUACACGAUCACACAAACAAACACACUUUGUCAGACUAACUCACCGGACUUUAGACUUAUUUUUACUUACUUGUUUCACACUUUAAAUUGUUGGUCACUUCAAUCACUUGCAUUGGCUCGAAGUCACAUGGUUAUUUAUAUUUAACAUGUGCACACACACACACACACAAACAAACGUAUUUGAUUGCAUCGUUGCAAACGUAAGGGCUCUUAUUCGCAAUCAAUUCCAGCAGAAACAAUUCCUACACUUCCUGAAUGUGUCUAGUUUUUAUUACUGUUCAGUAUGCGGUGGUAUAACUGCGCUGAGUGGGAGGUUCACUUUAAUCAGAGGAGUCUUGUCUGUUUUCCACAGAGGUACGAUAAUCCCAGAAUCUAAGCUAAGACGCGUUCACGGUCGGGUAGAUGAGAGUUGCUCUUUUUCCUCCAGUGCUGUCUGCUCGCUGCCGCCUGACGUCCACUCAGAAAGGCGAUGCUUUGUCCACCAAACACAAGCAUACGCAUAAACACUAAAGACUCGAAACUGUGAAAGAGUCAAAGAAAGAGAGCAACAGAAACUUGUGAUACAUGAUUUUAUCUCCUCUGGUUUAGAGUAGACACUCAAAGCUACCUGGAGCCAUACAGAGUCUAUUUUAAAUCUUUGUUUAUUGUGUUUUGUUUUUUCUGUUUUUUUUUUCUUUCUCUUGGGCGGGACGGUGCAGUUCACAGUAUUACCAUGUAGUAGAUGAUUGCACAGCAACAUUUUGUUUCUGUUACAUUUGAAUGUCUUUUUUUUUUGCAUUUAUUUUUAAGUACAUGUGAAUUUUAGUUUUUCUAUUUUUGACCCUCAUCUUCGUAUCCAAGCCCGGCUUCAGAAUUUUUGGAAAUGGCAUAAGCACCGAGGUUAUAAGUAGUACAAAGCGACAUUGCCACCACGUUUUUCUACUGCUUUAUAAAAUGAAAGACAGAACUGCAGUGCAAUUACGUGUAGUUACUGGUAUGUUUCAGUUGGGAAAAACCGGGGAUUUACAUUUUCCGCUGUACAUCCCGUAUAUGUCAGUAUGUCACAGGCUGACUUUUGCGGUUUUUGCAAAAACACGAGCGGAGCGGCGGUGGUGUACACAACAGUGAGGUGCUUUUUUUGCUCAGUAAUAGUCAAACAUCAAAUUUUUCCUUUUUAAUAGCUGUUUACACUGUAUGUUUACACAAUCCUAUGCCCAGUUUCACAAUCCCUUCACUGCACAUACUCUAUUUAAUAGGAAGCCUACUGCUGUCCCAUCUAUUAGUGGGGCGUGUUAAACUCGGAGGAGGUUUCAGGCUGUUGAUAAAGGAUAAUGGGGUGGACACGUUCCAUACUAACGGCUUUCUAAUGGGUUUUUCUUCUUCUCCAGGCUUAUGUCCGGUUCAUUGAGUUUCAGUUGUUUUUGUUAAAGGAGACGUUGUAGUGGAUAAACCUGUGGAAGAAUGAAUGAGGGAGCCAAAAACAGGCCUGUGUAAUGUGACGGUGACUUAAAGUAUGUGUGCGCAUAUGUGUGCCUGUGCAUACGUCUCUAUUUUUAUAAUAACAUUGUAAUUCAAGCCAGAUUAGGCAAUCCCUUGAGGCUGCCAUCACUGCUGAGCAGUGGGGUUAACCAGCUACCUAAUCGUGUGUGGCUAACUUCCAGUUCAUGCAACGGCUCCACACCGAGUUGUGCUGUGCCGAAAUUCUGAAGAAAAGGUGACUCACAAGGAGAGAGGAAGUGGAACUCAUCUGUGUCCGCUGUUGCUGGAGCUACGUGCUGAGGAGAGACUUUGUGAAGCAAGAAAAUCCCAGAGUGACUUACUGUGGAGGCUAACUGAUGUUUGAGUACUGCUGGUUGGCCAAAGGGACAAAAAGAGGUCUGUGAAUGAAAUGGAUGAAAUGUGAGACGCAGGAUGGGUGGCUGAGAGACGAUUUACCUGUGUUUGUCUAAAGAUGCUGGUUACUCUGUCUUAACUGACAUAUUCAGACGGUAUGUCAUUUGCAGUGCGUCAAAUAAGUUUGUGCAACUAUGGAAGAAUUAAAGCUGUGGUCUGUGCAAAAGGAGAAAAUGCAGAGAUGUUAAACAAAGCCCGUCUUGAUGGUCAGCGACCCCGUCAAAUGUUUCCUUUCUUUGUAUUAGCUUUAUCUGAUGUUAAAUGAGAACGGUGGAAGAAAAAGACAAAUGUUACUGUGGACAUCAGAACAGAGAAUGUUUUUUUGUUUUUUAAUUAAUCUGGGUACAAUAAUCUCUUUGAGAGCAGCCCAAAUUAUGUCAGGCAUUUUUUUUCUUAUGUGUGGUUUUUCUCACUGUAAUCUGAGUUUACAUGUUUUUUUUUGUUUGUUUGUUUUUCGGUGUUCAGCAUAUGGUCAAAGUAAUGGAAACAGGUGUUUAAUUUAGAGUUGGAUUUCAAGAUCAACCACUACUACUUCUGUUUUUGGAGAGUGUAAUAUAGCCACGCUCCCUUUAAGAUAAUCUUUUUUGGUUUUUAUGAAGAAAUUUGACGCCACGCUUGAACAUUUUCGUGUCUGCAUUACGAGCUUGUGUUGUUUCCUUAAAACUGACCAUACUGUCUGCACAUGCACAACUUGCCCUGUAUUAACUGUUCCGGGCAAAGCUCAUUCUAGAUCGGUCUUUUUAAUGGUCUCGUUGUCGAGAUGGAGGGUUCGAUGGGAGGAUGUUUAUUCUUUCGGUUGGCUGGAGAAGUGUAUUCAAUGUGAAUCGGUGCCUCUCGUGCACCAGCCAGGCAUUCGUUCAGCAUUUACCGAGGACGGCAACGACGGCAGCCUGCAUUUUAAGUCGUCAAAGCUGAUGGGGGUGAUGUAUAAAUUACCAUCACCCUUUACCUAGCUCUGUGUGUCUCGUCUCUGCCUGCAUCAUGUCUGUGGCCAGUGCUAUGACCUCUCUGAGUGAUGCGCUGCCUAGUGACUGAGUAACAAUAAACACUUUUUGGGUUUUUUUAAAACUUCACAUCAAUUUUAUGCUCGUCGUUCUGUUGAAGGUUGUGUGUGACUGUGAAAUGAAGCACAGAUUUGUGCAGGUGAAUGUGAGUCUUGGUCGUAUUACAUGUCACAGUGCUAUUUGACAAUUCCACCCACUCCUCCCUUCUCCUUUUUAAAAAAAUAAAGUAAAAAAAAAUCUGGAACUGGUGAUGAGCACAAUGUCUAGUAGUAUGGCUUCUUCGUAGUAGUGAUGCCAACAUAUAUUUUUUAAAGCAAUCUAGAUUUUUAAGUCUAACAAAAUAUCGAAAAACAAAAUCAGAGCACUCCAGUUACUCUGUUGGUUAUUUUUUAUUCUUAUUACACUUUCUUAAUCAUCGUUAGGUUACAAUCAGAUCCACUACACUAUAGAUGUUGGCUUUGCAUUACUAAUAACGCACUGAGGUGUUAGUCAUACAUAAAGUAUUAACUAUUUUGUUUGUACUUUUAACAGUUAAAGGUGUUUUGUCUGUUGGGUACCGUUUAAAUGUUUGGGGAGGGGGGGUUGUUUUGUUUUUUACUUCUCAGGCCUCCUAAUUAUUCAAAUAAAAUGAUUUAAAAUAA
Neolamprologus brichardi is the source of this 4232-nucleotide non-coding RNA. The record is from RefSeq and is a predicted model, not a curated record. Lineage: Eukaryota; Metazoa; Chordata; Actinopteri; Cichliformes; Cichlidae.